This 500-nucleotide ribosomal RNA is filed under the name uncultured Actinomycetes bacterium. RNAcentral describes it as "bacterial SSU rRNA". It matches the Rfam family "Bacterial small subunit ribosomal RNA", at positions 8 to 522 of the family's 1533-position model. Lineage: Bacteria; Bacillati; Actinomycetota; Actinomycetes. The record is from RNAcentral.
AGAGUUUGAUCCUGGCUCAGGACGAACGCUGGCGGCGUGCUUAACACAUGCAAGUCGAGCGGAAAGGCCUCUUCGGGGGUACUCGAGCGGCGAACGGGUGAGUAACACGUGAGUAAUCUGCCCUUCACACAUGGAUAACCACCGGAAACGGUGGCUAAUACAUGAUACGACACGUCUUCGCAUGAGGUGCGUGUGGAAAGUUUUUUCGGUGGAGGAUGUGCUCGCGGCCUAUCAGCUUGUUGGUGGGGUAAUGGCCUACCAAGGCUUCGACGGGUAGCCGGCCUGAGAGGGUGACCGGCCACACUGGGACUGAGACACGGCCCAGACUCCUACGGGAGGCAGCAGUGGGGAAUAUUGGACAAUGGGCGGAAGCCUGAUCCAGCAACGCCGCGUGAGGGAUGACGGCCUUCGGGUUGUAAACCUCUUUCAGUACCGACGAAGCGAGAGUGACGGUAGGUACAGAAGAAGCACCGGCCAACUACGUGCCAGCAGCCGCGGUA